Molecule: ribosomal RNA, 412 nt
Filed under: uncultured bacterium
Lineage: Bacteria
Description: bacterial SSU rRNA
Rfam family: Bacterial small subunit ribosomal RNA
Source: RNAcentral
AUAAAGUGGCGAACGGCUGAGUAACACGUGGGCAACCUGCCCCCCGCACCGGGAUAGCCUCGGGAAACCGUGGGUAAUACCGGAUACUCCGCACCCCGCAUGGGGGAGCGGGAAAGCGUACACGGCGGGGGAUGGGCCCGCGGCCUGUUAGCUCGUUGGCGGGGUAACGGCCCACCAAGGCGAUUAUGGGUAGCCGGGUUGAGAGACCGACGGCCAGAUUGGGACUGAGACACGGCCCAGACUCCUACGGGAGGCAGCAGUGGGGAAUCUUGCACAAUGGGCGAAAGCCUGAUGCAAGCGACGCCGCGUGCGGGACGAAGGCCCUCGGGUUGUAAACCGCUUUCAGCAGGGACGAGGCGCGAGUGACGGUACCUGCAGAAGAAGCCCCGGCUAACUACGUGCCAGCCGCAGC